AAACUGUGUAUGUAGGAAAAGAAGCUCUAUGAUGAAGUCAAGGUAUGGUUCAUGAAUCAAUAUGCUUUUAGAUUUUACUUUACUUUUUUCACCUUUUUCUUUUAGUUCAUGUUUUUGUGUCGAAGAGAUGAAUGACUCGGUAAAUUUUGAAAUACUUUAUCAGAGUUUAUUUUCUUUGAAAAACUUUAACCGUAGUUUUUU
This 201-nucleotide long non-coding RNA is filed under the name Gossypium barbadense (sea-island cotton). RNAcentral's name for it is "long non-coding RNA (GBAR_LNC020601)". The record is from RNAcentral. Lineage: Eukaryota; Viridiplantae; Streptophyta; Magnoliopsida; Malvales; Malvaceae.